CCUACGGGAGGCUGCAGUGGGGAAUAUUGGACAAUGGGGGGAACCCUGAUCCAGCCAUGCCGCGUGUGUGAAGAAGGCCCUCGGGUUGUAAAGCACUUUCAGUGAGGAAGAACGCCUGGUGGUUAAUACCCAUCAGGAAAGACAUCACUCACAGAAGAAGCACCGGCUAACUCCGUGCCAGCAGCCGCGGUAAUACGGAGGGUGCGAGCGUUAAUCGGAAUUACUGGGCGUAAAGCGCGCGUAGGUGGCUUGAUAAGCCGGUUGUGAAAGCCCCGGGCUCAACCUGGGAACGGCAUCCGGAACUGUCCAGCUAGAGUGCAGGAGAGGAAGGUAGAAUUCCCGGUGUAGCGGUGAAAUGCGUAGAGAUCGGGAGGAAUACCAGUGGCGAAGGCGGCCUUCUGGACUGACACUGACACUGAGGUGCGAAAGCGUGGGUAGCAAACAGGAUUAGCUACCAUGGUAGUC
This 465-nucleotide ribosomal RNA is filed under the name Vreelandella stevensii. Its description in RNAcentral is "partial 16S ribosomal RNA". It matches the Rfam family "Bacterial small subunit ribosomal RNA", at positions 338 to 795 of the family's 1533-position model. The record is from RNAcentral. Lineage: Bacteria; Pseudomonadati; Pseudomonadota; Gammaproteobacteria; Oceanospirillales; Halomonadaceae.